UACGGUAGGGCGCAAGCGUUAUCCGGAUUCACUGGGUUUAAAGGGUGCGUAGGUGGGCAGGUAAGUCAGUGGUGAAAUCUCCGGGCUUAACUCGGAAACUGCCAUUGAUACUAUCUUUCUUGAAUACCGUGGAGGUCAGCGGAAUAUGUCAUGUAGCGGUGAAAUGCUUAGAUAUGACAUAGAACACCAAUUGCGAAGGCAGCUGGCUACACGAAUAUUGACACUGAUGCACGAAAGCGUGGGGAUCAAACAGG
RNAcentral lists this ribosomal RNA (254 nucleotides) under uncultured bacterium. Its description in RNAcentral is "partial 16S ribosomal RNA". It matches the Rfam family "Bacterial small subunit ribosomal RNA", at positions 524 to 776 of the family's 1533-position model. The record is from RNAcentral.